RNAcentral lists this unclassified non-coding RNA (256 nucleotides) under uncultured fungus. RNAcentral's name for it is "sequence contains ITS1". The record is from RNAcentral. Lineage: Eukaryota; Fungi.
CCAAAGUUCGAGGGCGUCCGGGCCAGACCCUUCCGGGGUGACCGUCCGAAGGCGCCCCGACCCCCCUCUGUCGAGGCGGCGGGACUGCUGUCCGUCGUCUUCGUCGCCUCGACGGUCCACAAACCCUCUCGGCGUACCUUACCCUUGUUGCUUUCCCGGGUCUGAACGGGCUCGGGAAGAGACCGAAACCAAUCUCUGUGAGUCAGUCGUCUGAAUCGGAUGGCCCGCGUGCCGUCCGACCAAUUCCAAAAGUUCA